UUUCAGAGUUGUGACUGAAAUAUUAAUAAUUCUGCUUUGCCCAUGUUUUAAUGUGUUUAAAUAUAGAACAUUUCAGUGUAUAAAGCAGUAACAUAAGUACUAGUCUCUCAGCACCUUUUAGCAUGCACUGCCGAAUAUACCAAUGUACGCAUUUUGAAACUACACAGAUGGGAAAAUGUAUGAUUCAGAACCUAAACCAGUGCAAUAAAAAGGCAGACAAAAAAUUUCCUUUGUGUCUAAAGGCAAAGUACCCUUAUGCUGCUAUUUUAAGAAGGAAAAUUAAUGACCAUUUCUUACAAAGGAAGUAGUUCUUCCCUGCAGUUUAGAAUUGAUUAGUAAAUGGCUAUGCAGAAAGCUCUGUAUGGAAUUAGACAAGUAUGAGUCUGUGCACUUCAAUCUAUUUUGUACAUGUUCUCCAAGACCUCAACAACUAAAGCUAAUGCUCCCUCAGCUCCAUUGAACUAAUUAAGCUAGGUUGUUAUAUUAAUAAUGGGCUGCCCUUCUGUCUGCAUUAAUAGCACUUAGCAAGUCAGUGUGUGUGUGGAUGCUUAUCUCAUGAAGGAGAAAGCUCCUGUCAGUGAAUUAGAUUAAUCCAUCAAAAGAAUUAAUGUGACUUGAUUAGUGGUGAUAUCUGAAAAAGGUGGUACACAUGAACAGAUAUCUGCAGCUGUAGGAAGUAAGCAACAACACUCCAAACCACUGAGCCACGUCAUCUUUUUCAGUUCUCUUGCUGAUGGAGUGCCAUAGCCAAGGUUCCUAAUGUUUUAGAAGUUCCCAAGAACUGAAAAAGUAGUCCUUUAGGCUGGUGAUAAUUGGCUGAGAACAGAAUUCAAAGAUUCUUCUGUAUCAUAAAUAUUAAAAUAUAAUGAAAAGAUGAUAGCUGGGAUAAGGGGUUUCAAAAUUGUUAAAAGUGGAAAUAUAUAAAGAAUGAGAGGUUUUCUUCUUGAGAGAAAUACGCAUGUGGGCUUCUUUAUAUUAUAGACAUUACCAUUAUGAUUUAGCAUGAAACCAAGUUAAAAUAAUCACAAGUUUUUCAAGUUAUUUUAAUGCUGCUUCCUAAAAGUUGAUGAGCAGUUCCAGAAUGUCAGUUACCAAGAAUGAAGCAUGAGAGAUCUACCAGAAGCACCAGAUAUUUUUGAUUAAUCAUUUACUUAGCUGCAGCAAAGGGGAGAAACACUUGGCUCAUGGUCUCACACCUAUGAAAAGACUACAGUCAUUUUUUUUUUUUUCUCAUAUGUAGGUAAGGAAGGCAUGAAGCGACUCAAGAGUCACAGAGAAGUGUUCCUUGAGCUCUCCAUGCCCUCCCUGCCCUCCCUGCCCACCCAACCACUGCCUGAGGAGCCAAAGAUUGGGCUUGGUGAACUGCUCAGGACCUCUAUAAGCAUUAAGAGUAGGGAAUAAAUUGUCCAGAUGGUUUGUUAAAUAAACAAAUUGUCUAUUCUAUGAAGCUGUUUGUUUAAAACCAGGAUAUAUUCAAAUCAUCUAAGACUUUAUAGAUAGAUACAAAUUUGUUAGGUAUUUGUCUGCAGCGUAACACUCAUUUACAGCUGAGGUUGCUGUAGAGCUCUUAGACUUCAAAGGCACGAUUCAUGGCACACUUUUACAUGUGUCUCAACACAUGCCAAUAUAGGUACCCCGACACAGCCAUAAGAUAGCUAUUUGUAUGCACGAUAGCAAAUACAUACUAAAACUAGUAAAUUUUUAAUAUUAGCUGAGAGCAUGUGAAUCACUGGGUGCAGCUUGCAAAGGUGGUAUUAAGCUCAGGUAUAACUAUUAGUUUGACUAAUGAUGCAUGCAGAACAUAAUGUGUGGAAUUACCCAGCA
RNAcentral lists this long non-coding RNA (1824 nucleotides) under Strigops habroptila (Kakapo). RNAcentral describes it as "lncRNA (ENSSHBG00005015447.1)". Lineage: Eukaryota; Metazoa; Chordata; Aves; Psittaciformes; Psittacidae. The record is from RNAcentral.